GUCAUCCUAAUAACUAGCUCAUUUUAUAGAUCUAAUAAUUCAGAAGAUUUGAUUGACAUAUAAAAGAGAAAAAAUUAAAUUUGAUCAGUUAAUCAUAAUCCUCUCACUGACUUCAUCAAGUCAGAUCAAAGAAGACUAAAUUAGAUUCAAGCCAGUCAAGAAACCUACAUCAGUCACACUGAUCAACUUAUGCAGUAUGGGUUUAGCACGAAUCAAUGAGCAACCAAAUCAAAAGCUAAUUCACCACAUUGGCCAUAUAAGUG
Molecule: long non-coding RNA, 263 nt
Filed under: Elaeis guineensis (African oil palm)
Lineage: Eukaryota; Viridiplantae; Streptophyta; Magnoliopsida; Arecales; Arecaceae
Description: long non-coding RNA (EGUI_LNC045132)
Source: RNAcentral